AUUAAAAAAGUGGAAAAGAAACUGCUGGACAAAUAAUUUAGAUGGGAAUACAAAAGAGGGAGGUAUGAGGAAGUCCAGAAAAUAAGUAAUUUAAAAAUGGAAUGGAAAAGAGAGUUUGUUUUUAAUUGUUACUUUUUUGUUUUUUUUAUUGUUGAGUUUUGUAUUGCUUUUUGUGUGUGUUGUUUCUUUGUUGUUUAAAACUUUAAUAAAAAUUAUUUAAAACACUAACCCAGAAAUAGUACCUC
Non-coding RNA from Podarcis lilfordi (Lilford's wall lizard), 245 nucleotides. NCBI's taxonomy places the organism in Eukaryota, Metazoa, Chordata, Lepidosauria, Squamata, Lacertidae. The record is from the annotation of a GenBank genome assembly.